Molecule: long non-coding RNA, 848 nt
Organism: Chinchilla lanigera (long-tailed chinchilla)
Lineage: Eukaryota; Metazoa; Chordata; Mammalia; Rodentia; Chinchillidae
Exons: 3
Source: RefSeq, a predicted model, not a curated record
AUACUUGGAAUCCAUGUUGUACAGAAACCCAAGCAGCUCAACAGAGGAAAACAGGCCUCAGGACCAAAGACCUCGCUGAAUUCCCAGCUGAUGCUCUACACAUAGAAGCCAUCUUGGGUGUGGCUUCUUUGGCUCCAGCUGAGGUCACCUCUAAGCCUUGUGGAAUAAGGAGGAGCUGUCUCUGCAUAGCUCAGUCCAUACUGUAAUGCUGUGAAUACACAAUUAAUAUUACAUCUGUGGUUUGCUACAUAGCAGUCCAAACUGAAGGAACCAUCUGGGUCAGCAACAUUGAGACACGGGGAGGAAGGUGAGCACAAGCCAGGAAGGUGAGACGCAUCCGGGCCGCGUGGCAUUCCCGCCUUUCCAAGGGAAAGGUGCAGAAAGCAGCACUAAAGGAAAGACCAGUAACAGCUGCAGCAACAAAAAAAAAUCCUGCAGUAAGGACCAACCUGUGCUGCCGAGUCAGGAGGAAGGAACCCAAAUGCCAUCUGGUUCACGGACCAGUCUGUCCAUGGGAAAUGAAUGAAAGCACCACUAGAAGGAACCCGUUGUGGCAUUAUGGAAAAAGAGCAUCGGCUUCCAAAGAGGGGUAAAAGCAGGUAGCAAGCAGCCUUUGAAGUGGCUCAGCAGCGGAGGAGGUGGAGGAGGCCAGGCGGCCAUUAUCAGUGGCUACCAGGUGCCAGGGGACCGCGUUAGGUGAUAAAACACUUGGCUGACACCAGAAAAAAGAAUCAUCACUCCUCUCCUACCCCACCCUCACUCCCUUGCUCUCUCUCCUUUUUUUUUUUAAAGGAGGCUUUUUACCCUCAUUAAAUGAAACCUUAUCUCUGAAAGACUGCAAUCCUCAG